RNAcentral lists this transfer RNA (74 nucleotides) under compost metagenome. RNAcentral describes it as "tRNA-Gly". It matches the Rfam family "tRNA". Rfam says of the family: Transfer RNA (tRNA) molecules are approximately 80 nucleotides in length. Their secondary structure includes four short double-helical elements and three loops (D, anti-codon, and T loops). The record is from RNAcentral.
GCGUGCGUAGUGUAACGGUAACACCUUUGGCUUCCACCCAAAUAUUGCAGGUUCGAAACCUGUCGCCCGCACCA